GACGAGUCUCACGAACGUUAUUCGGAAUUACUGGGCUUAAAGGGUGCGUAGGCGGUGAAGUAAGUCGGAUGUGAAAUACCUUAGCUUAACUAGGGAACUGCACUCGAUACUACUUUGCUAGAGUAAGACAGAGGUGAGUGGAACUGAGGGUGGAGCGGUGAAAUGCGUAGAUAUGUGGAGGAACACCAGUGGCGAAGGCGACUCUCUGGUCUGUAACUGACGCUGAGGCGCGAAAGCGUGGGGAGCAAACAGG
This 253-nucleotide ribosomal RNA is filed under the name uncultured bacterium. RNAcentral's name for it is "partial 16S ribosomal RNA". It matches the Rfam family "Bacterial small subunit ribosomal RNA", at positions 524 to 776 of the family's 1533-position model. The record is from RNAcentral.